AUUGAACGCUGGCGGCAUGCUUUACACAUGCAAGUCGAACGGUAACAGGCCUUCGGGCGCUGACGAGUGGCGAACGGGUGAGUAAUAUAUCGGAACGUGCCCAGUAGUGGGGGAUAGCCCGGCGAAAGCCGGAUUAAUACCGCAUACGACCUACGGGUGAAAGGGGGGGAUCGCAAGACCUCUCGCUAUUGGAGCGGCCGAUAUCAGAUUAGGUAGUUGGUGGGGUAAAGGCCUACCAAGCCUGCGAUCUGUAGUUGGUCUGAGAGGACGACCAGCCACACUGGGACUGAGACACGGCCCAGACUCCUACGGGAGGCAGCAGUGGGGAAUUUUGGACAAUGGGCGCAAGCCUGAUUCAGCAAUGCCGCGUGCAGGAAGAAGGCCUUCGGGUUGUAAACUGCUUUUGUCAGGGAAGAAAUCCUCUGGGUUAAUACCCCGGGAGGAUGACGGUACCUGAAGAAUAAGCACCGGCUAACUACGUGCCAGCAGCCGCGGUAA
Molecule: ribosomal RNA, 498 nt
Filed under: uncultured bacterium
Lineage: Bacteria
Description: partial 16S ribosomal RNA
Rfam family: Bacterial small subunit ribosomal RNA
Source: RNAcentral